ACGGAGUUGGCCGGGGCUUCUUCUGCAGGUACCGUCAUCAACUUCCCUGCUGAAAGAGCUUUACAACCCUAAGGCCUUCUUCACUCACGCGGCAUGGCUGGAUCAGGCUUGCGCCCAUUGUCCAAUAUUCCCC
This 133-nucleotide ribosomal RNA is filed under the name uncultured bacterium. Its description in RNAcentral is "partial 16S ribosomal RNA". The record is from RNAcentral.